CGUGGAGACAGGUGGUGCAUGGCUGUCGUCAGCUCGUGUCGUGAGAUGUUGGGUUGAGUCCCGCAACGAGCGCAACCCUCACCCCUAGUUGCGACCGGGUUAUGCCGAGCACUCGAGGGGAACUGCCAGCGUCAAGCUGGAGGAAGGCGGGGAUGACGUCAAGUCAUCAUGCCCCUUACGCCCUGGGCUACACACGUGCUACAAUGGCCAGUACAAAGGGAUGCGAGACUGCGAAGUGGAGCUAAUCCCAAAAAGCUGGUCUAAGUUCAGAUUGCAGUCUGCAACUCGACUGCAUGAAGGAGGAAUCGCUAGUAAUCGCGCAUCAGCACGGCGCGGUGAAUACGUUCCCGGGCCUUGUACACACCGCCCGUCACACCACGAAAGCUGUCUGUACUCGAAGUCGCUGAG
RNAcentral lists this ribosomal RNA (408 nucleotides) under uncultured Methylomirabilota bacterium. RNAcentral describes it as "bacterial SSU rRNA". It matches the Rfam family "Bacterial small subunit ribosomal RNA", at positions 1027 to 1434 of the family's 1533-position model. The record is from RNAcentral. Lineage: Bacteria; Methylomirabilota (SeqCode).